This is a long non-coding RNA of Hyaena hyaena (striped hyena), 628 nucleotides long. RefSeq lists it as uncharacterized. The transcript has 3 exons. NCBI's taxonomy places the organism in Eukaryota, Metazoa, Chordata, Mammalia, Carnivora, Hyaenidae. The record is from RefSeq and is a predicted model, not a curated record.
GGUUCGUAAGUGGAGGUUAUCAUUGGAAACAUGUCCUCAGGGAACCAACCUCCUGCUCAGAUCUCUGGCCUUGCCCUUUUAGAAUUUUCCUGUCUCAUACCCUCAUUGCGUCUGCUCCACCUGUUCACCUCUGGUACAGAAACCUGGGUUUCUGGGAAGAAAGAUUCUGCGUAUCUUCUUCCACCUUUUAGCUCUGAACUGUUCAGGAUCCUAUUGUUUUGAGAGCAACUAAGAUCUCAUCUGGCAACUUUGAAGUUGAUAAUAUGAUAUUGCUGACUAUACGUCUCUGUUGGAGCUCUCGUGUGUACUGUAGAUGUAGCAGCAUGCCUGGUGUCUAUACAGCUACCUAGAGCACCACCUCUCCCCCAGUAGUCAUGGACAAAUAAAUGCCUUCGAAUAUUGUCAACUGUCGCCUCAGGGAAAAAUUGCUUUUGGUUAAGAAUGGCUGACGUAGAUCUACCCAUUUAGCAACAAUAGCUUUUUUUUUCAACAUUUUAUGGUAUCUCACAUCUUCCAUUACUUCUCUUCUGCCUAAGAUAAAUAAUGUAGAAUUUUCUUUAGUGAAGUCUGUAGGUUUUUUUUUUUUUUUUUUUUUUUUUUUGUAAAAAUGAGAGAAGGCUAUUUUUUC